CAGCCGCCGCGGUAAUACGUAGGUCCCGAGCGUUGUCCGGAUUUAUUGGGCGUAAAGGGAGCGCAGGCGGUUUAGUAAGUCUGAAGUUAAAGGCUGUGGCUCAACCAUAGUUCGCUUUGGAAACUGUCAAACUUGAGUGCAGAAGGGGAGAGUGGAAUUCCAUGUGUAGCGGUGAAAUGCGUAGAUAUAUGGAGGAACACCGGUGGCGAAAGCGGCUCUCUGGUCUGUAACUGACGCUGAGGCUCGAAAGCGUGGGGAGCGAGCAGGAUUAGAUACCCCGUAGUCCCUGUCUCUUAUACAC
Molecule: ribosomal RNA, 301 nt
Filed under: uncultured bacterium
Lineage: Bacteria
Description: partial 16S ribosomal RNA
Rfam family: Bacterial small subunit ribosomal RNA
Source: RNAcentral